This 271-nucleotide small nucleolar RNA is filed under the name Colius striatus (speckled mousebird). Its description in RNAcentral is "Small Cajal body specific RNA 6". It matches the Rfam family "Small Cajal body specific RNA 6". From Rfam's summary of the family: U88 is small Cajal body specific RNA (scaRNA). scaRNAs are a novel class of small nuclear RNAs which localise to the Cajal bodies. The record is from Rfam by way of RNAcentral. Lineage: Eukaryota; Metazoa; Chordata; Aves; Coliiformes; Coliidae.
GGUCGAUGAUGAUCAGUAAAAGGUCUGAGAGCACAGGGAAAUUACACUCCACUACCCUCUUGGCUCCCAGCAGUCCCCCUUCUGUCAUGCUGUAGUAGAGCUAUGAUUAAGGAAGAGAUUGCUGACAGUUUGAGAUUAAUUCAGUUCCAGUUCUCCACAGUGAAAGGAGUUGUGGCACUGAGUGUCAUCCAACAGAACUGGUAAAGAGGAGCUUGUGGUAGUGGAGUGUCUUCACUUGUUGUGUGUGAUCUGAAGUUUUCAAGCUGAGACC